GAUGAACGCUGGCGGCGUGCCUAAUACAUGCAAGUCGAGCGAACAGACGAUGAGCUUGCUCCUCUGACGUUAGCGGCGGACGGGUGAGUAACACGUGGAUCACCUACCUAUAAGACUGGGAUAACUUCGGGAAACCGCAGCUAAUACCGGAUCAUAUAUUGAACCGCAUGGUUCAAUAGUGAAAGACGGUUUUGCUGUCACUUAUAGCUGGAUCCGCGCCGGAUUAGCUAGUUGGUAAGGUAACGGCUUACCAAGGCAACGAUGCGUAGCCGACCUGAGAGGGUGAUCGGCCACACUGGAACUGAGACACGGUCCAGACUCCUACGGGAGGCAGCAGUAGGGAAUCUUCCGCAAUGGGCGAAAGCCUGACGGAGCAACGCCGCGUGAGUGAUGAAGGUCUUCGGAUCGUAAAACUCUGUUAUUAGGGAAGAACAAAUGUGUAAGUAACUAUGCACGUCUUGACGGUACCUAAUCAGAAAGCCACGGCUAACUACGUG
Molecule: ribosomal RNA, 497 nt
Filed under: uncultured bacterium
Lineage: Bacteria
Description: partial 16S ribosomal RNA
Rfam family: Bacterial small subunit ribosomal RNA
Source: RNAcentral